This 803-nucleotide ribosomal RNA is filed under the name Verrucomicrobia bacterium SCGC AAA166-J10. Its description in RNAcentral is "bacterial SSU rRNA". It matches the Rfam family "Bacterial small subunit ribosomal RNA", at positions 67 to 851 of the family's 1533-position model. The record is from RNAcentral. Lineage: Bacteria; Pseudomonadati; Verrucomicrobiota.
CGAGACUUACCUAGCUUGCUUAGUAAGUUUAGUGGCGGACGGGUGAGUAACACGUGAGCAACCUGCCCAGAAGAAAGGGAUAGCUCGGGGAAACUCGAAUUAAUACCAUAUGUGAUCCUGUGAUGCAUAUCACGGGAAUGAAAAGGUGCCUUCGGGUGCCGCUUCUGGAUGGGCUCGCGGCCUAUCAGCUUGAUGGUGAGGUAACGGCUCACCAUGGCAUUGACGGGUAGCUGGUCUGAGAGGACGACCAGUCACACUGGAACUGAGACACGGUCCAGACACCUACGGGUGGCAGCAGUCGAGAAUCAUUCGCAAUGGACGAAAGUCUGACGGUGCGACGCCGCGUGGAGGAUGACGGUCUUCGGAUUGUAAACUCCUGUCAUCGAAGAGUAAGGUUUGCAGGUUAAUACCCUGUAAAAUUGAUAGUAUUCGAAGAGGAAGGGACGGCUAACUUCGUGCCAGCAGCCGCGGUAAUACGAAGGUCCCAAGCGUUGUUCGGAAUCACUGGGCGUAAAGGGAGCGUAGGCGGUGAGGUAAGUCAGAUGUGAAAUUCCAGGGCUCAACCCUGGAACUGCAUCCGAUACUGCCUCACUUGAGUAGUGGAGGGGCAUCUGGAAUUCACGGUGUAGCAGUGAAAUGCGUAGAGAUCGUGAGGAACACUAGUGGCGAAGGCGAGAUGCUGGACACUUACUGACGCUGAGGCUCGAAGGCCAGGGUAGCGAAAGGGAUUAGAUACCCCUGUAGUCCUGGCAGUAAACGGUGCACGUUUGGUGUGAGAAGGUUCGACCCUUUUCGUGCCGGAG